ACGAGUAUGGGUCCUCACGGGCCCGAACUCCCACCCCAUGUUGUCGCGAACUUACGUUGCCUCGGCGGGCCCGCCUCGCGGCCCCCCGGCCCCCGGGUCGGGGCAGCGCCCGCCGACGGUCUACACUCACAACUCUUUGUUUGACAGUGAAGUCCGAGCAAAAAUUCUUAAUGAAUCA
This 178-nucleotide unclassified non-coding RNA is filed under the name uncultured fungus. RNAcentral describes it as "sequence contains ITS1, 5.8S rRNA gene". The record is from RNAcentral. Lineage: Eukaryota; Fungi.